RNAcentral lists this unclassified non-coding RNA (378 nucleotides) under plant metagenome. RNAcentral describes it as "partial contains 5.8S ribosomal RNA, internal transcribed spacer 2, and large subunit ribosomal RNA". The stretch from base 1 to 105 matches the Rfam family "5.8S ribosomal RNA", at positions 50 to 154 of the family's 154-position model. The record is from RNAcentral.
GAAAUGCGAUAAGUAAUGUGAAUUGCAGAAUUCAGUGAAUCAUCGAAUCUUUGAACGCACCUUGCGCUCCUUGGUAUUCCUUGGAGCAUGCCUGUUUGAGUAUCAUGAAAUCUUCAAAGUAAAUCUUUUGUUAACUCAAUUGGUUUCUACUUUGGUAUUGGAGGUCUUUGCAGCUUCACACCUGCUCCUCUUUGUUCAUUAGCUGGAUCUCAGUGUUAUGCUUGGUUCCACUCGGCGUGAUAAGUUAUCUAUCGCUGAGGACACUGUAAAAGGUGGCCAAGGUAAAUGCAGAUGAACCGCUUCUACUAGUCCCUUGACUUGGACAAUACUUUUAUGAUCUGAUCUCAAAUCAGGUAGGACUACCCGCUGAACUUAAGC